RNAcentral lists this non-coding RNA (49 nucleotides) under Serratia sp. (in: enterobacteria). RNAcentral's name for it is "Serratia sp. Guanidine-II sequence". It matches the Rfam family "Guanidine-II riboswitch aptamer (mini-ykkC)". Rfam says of the family: Simpler in structure and has fewer highly conserved nucleotide positions than the ykkC-yxkD leader. RNAcentral also lists the same sequence under 1 other name. The record is from RNAcentral. Lineage: Bacteria; Pseudomonadati; Pseudomonadota; Gammaproteobacteria; Enterobacterales; Yersiniaceae.
CGCGUGGGACGACCCACUGUAUGCGUCUGUACUCCGCAGGACGACCUGC